CUGAUCCAGCAAUGCCGCGUGUGUGAAGAAGGCCUUCGGGUUGUAAAGCACUUUUGUCCGGAAAGAAAUCCUUGGCUCUAAUACAGUCGGGGGAUGACGGUACCGGAAGAAUAAGCACCGGCUAACUACGUGCCAGCAGCCGCGGUAAUACGUAGGGUGCGAGCGUUAAUCGGAAUUACUGGGCGUAAAGCGUGCGCAGGCGGUUUGCUAAGACCGAUGUGAAAUCCCCGGGCUCAACCUGGGAACUGCAUUGGUGACUGGCAGGCUAGAGUAUGGCAGAGGGGGGUAGAAUUCCACGUGUAGCAGUGAAAUGCGUAGAGAUGUGGAGGAAUACCGAUGGCGAAGGCAGCCCCCUGGGCCAAUACUGACGCUCAUGCACGAAAGCGUGGGGAGCAAACAGGAUUAGAUACCCUGGUAGUCCACGCCCUAAACGAUGUCAACUAGUUGUUGGGGAUUCAUUUCCUUAGUAACGUAGCUAACGCGUGAAGUUGACCGCCUGGGGAGUACGGUCGCAAGAUUAAAACUCAAAGGAAUUGACGGGGACCCGCACAAGCGGUGGAUGAUGUGGAUUAAUUCGAUGCAACGCGAAAAACCUUACCUACCCUUGACAUGGUCGGAAUCCUGCUGAGAG
RNAcentral lists this ribosomal RNA (631 nucleotides) under Burkholderia sp. IBa232. RNAcentral describes it as "bacterial SSU rRNA". It matches the Rfam family "Bacterial small subunit ribosomal RNA", at positions 383 to 1007 of the family's 1533-position model. Lineage: Bacteria; Pseudomonadati; Pseudomonadota; Betaproteobacteria; Burkholderiales; Burkholderiaceae. The record is from RNAcentral.